CCAGAAUUGACCAUGGUCCUGAUUUUAGACUCCUACUGAGAUCCGAGUGGAGAUGAGCCUCCCACAGGAACAUGCACCAGCACGGUUCUCAGAAGUUCAUCUUGGUGAUCACCCACAGAACCUCCCAGAAAGACAUCAGUAAGUUCCAGGUUGAAGAGGGACCUUCCCCGACGGCGUGACCAUCUCCCGAUGAAGUGCUCUGGAAAAGUUCAUUCCUCCCCCGUGGAACAUGAACUUGACAUUUCCUGCGGCUCCUUUUAGGAAGUGCUGCCCCCGAGCCACCAACACUCCCCGACUUUCUGAGGAUAAACGCUUUGUCCUGUUUUGAGAAACUGACUCAUGUUUAGCCUUAAUAAGUGCAUAGUAGGAAAUGACCACUGU
Long non-coding RNA from Manis javanica (Malayan pangolin), 381 nucleotides. RefSeq lists it as uncharacterized. The record is from RefSeq and is a predicted model, not a curated record. Lineage: Eukaryota; Metazoa; Chordata; Mammalia; Pholidota; Manidae.